UUGCCAUCGUAGUCAGUGUAGUUGCUGUUAUAGUCCCUAUAUGUGGGGUUCUGGUUGGCCUCUUUAUAUUAUGGAAGAAGAAAAACCCAAACCAACAACCCCACAAGACAUAUUUUUGGAGAAAGACCUUAUUGGUCCAGUGUCAGAUCACAUUGUAACAACAGAGGAGCAAGGUGAAAGCUGUAGUGUGAUGGCAGCAGUUACGUGAUCUGAAUGGUCCAAGUGGCCAUGCUAGUUAAAGUGAUGAGCAUUGAUGCUACCAGUCAGGAUGCUCUUUGUAGAGCCUCUAUAAAAGGCCUUCAGGAUCUUGGAUCGCAUACCAAACUUCCUUAGUCAUCUCAGGUGGAAGAGAUGCUGUUGGGCUUUUUUACAAUAUGGUCAGUGUGACCAUCCCAGGUAAGGUCUUCUGUGAUAUUAACGCCAAGGAACGUUUUUGACCCUUUCCACAGCAUCGCCGUUGAUGGUAAUGGUGUCAAACUGAUCUUCUUUCCUUCGGAAGUUUACAAUUAGCUCUUUGGUCUUUGCCAUGUUGAGAGUUGCCAGGUUGUUGGUCUCAUGACACCACUGUGUUAAGUCUCUCCUAUAGGCUGUUUCAUCGUUGUUAGUAAUAAGACCAAUUAUACUGGUGUCAUCAGCAAACUUAAUAACCAUAUUAGAGCUACUGUAUGUUGUGUAGCCAGGGAAGGUGAAUGCUGUGUACGUUGGGGUAACGCCCCCCUGUACUACAGCGGAACUUCCCGCACCUUCCCAUGAUUAUUAGUUAAUCACUUUGGCUCUACAUAAUCCUUGCACCUGUGUCGAAUUGGGAGUGGUUUGCUGUGUCGCGUUUGGGCUGCCGUGUGGCAUCGGAGUGUCUUGUCUUGGGUAACUCUGCUGGGCUAAAGGUCAUCUAACUUUGGGCAUUUAGCUGGCCUACGCGAACAUGGUGUUAAAACCUUGACCUCUGCUAACUGUCCCUCUUUGCUUCGUAGAAAUCGCCCUGUGCAUCUGUCCCCUUUGUGUCAGGCUAAGGACGAUUCGCGGGGUAUAGUACUGUGUCUCGGACGUCGCUUGGUGUGUCUUGCUCGCUGGUAAACCACAAGUCACGGAAGUAGGAGUGGGUUUGCGUGGCUAUGGCGCAGCACCUCCGGUAGGUCCUUAAUUAUGAGCCUGGCUUGUGAAAUAUCUCCGUGGUGACACUAAUGUGUGUGUGUGUGUGUGUUUGCAUAUUGUUACACAGGAGAGAAAUGCUCACCUUGCUGACAACACUGUAGGUGGAAAUCGCAACGUUUAUACCUACUGUUACACCAUCCUGACAUCCUAUUGAUACAUUCUAUGUUAUCGGAGCUAAUCUGAUGUUCUCUGUUUCCAGAGGCCUUACUCAGAAGCCACUGUUGUUUUGCCGGUGCUUAUGUUUGGUGUUCAUUCAUCCUGUUUGUCUGCUCCGUUUCGUCUGCUUCGUGUGUUUGUUUGGUGUCCUAUGUGUUUGUUUUAGUGCUGUCAGUUAAACGCGUUAUUAACGACGUUAACG
Molecule: long non-coding RNA, 1510 nt
Organism: Alosa alosa (allis shad)
Lineage: Eukaryota; Metazoa; Chordata; Actinopteri; Clupeiformes; Clupeidae
Exons: 4
Source: RefSeq, a predicted model, not a curated record